GAUGAACGCUGGCGGCGUGCCUAAUACAUGCAAGUCGAGCGAACGGACGAGAAGCUUGCUUCUCUGAUGCUAGCGGCGGACGGGUGAGUAACACGUGGAUAACCUACCUAUAAGACUGGGAUAACUUCGGGAAACCGGAGCUAAUACCGGAUGAUAUUUUGAACCGCAUGGUUCAAAAGUGAAAGACGGUCUUGCUGUCACUUAUAGAUGGAUCCGCGCUGCAUUAGCUAGUUGGUAAGGUAACGGCUUACCAAGGCAACGAUGCAUAGCCGCCCUGAGAGGGUGAUCGGCCACACUGGAACUGAGACACGGUCCAGACUCCUACGGGAGGCAGCAGUAGGGAAUCUUCCGCAAUGGGCGAAAGCCUGACGGAGCAACGCCGCGUGAGUGAUGAAGGUCUUCGGAUCGUAAAACUCUGUUAUUAGGGAAGAACAUAUGUGUAAGUAACUGUGCACAUCUUGACGGUACCUAAUCAGAAAGCCACGGCUAACUACGUG
RNAcentral lists this ribosomal RNA (497 nucleotides) under uncultured bacterium. RNAcentral describes it as "partial 16S ribosomal RNA". It matches the Rfam family "Bacterial small subunit ribosomal RNA", at positions 28 to 507 of the family's 1533-position model. The record is from RNAcentral.